RNAcentral lists this ribosomal RNA (446 nucleotides) under uncultured bacterium. RNAcentral's name for it is "bacterial SSU rRNA". It matches the Rfam family "Bacterial small subunit ribosomal RNA", at positions 330 to 793 of the family's 1533-position model. The record is from RNAcentral.
CCCAGACUCCUACGGGAGGCAGCAGUGGGGAAUAUUGCACAAUGGGGGGAACCCUGAUGCAGCGACGCCGCGUGGGUGAAGGAGCACCUCGGUGCGUAAAGCCCUAUCGGCAGGGAAGAAACAGACGGUACCUGACUAAGAAGCCCCGGCUAACUACGUGCCAGCAGCCGCGGUAAUACGUAGGGGGCAAGCGUUAUCCGGAUUCACUGGGUGUAAAGGGAGCGUAGACGGCGACGCAAGUCUGGAGUGAAAGCCCGGGGCCCAACCCCGGGACUGCUCUGGAAACUGCGUCGCUGGAGUACGGGAGGGGCAGGCGGAAUUCCUGGUGUAGCGGUGAAAUGCGUAGAUAUCACGAAGAACUCCGAUUGCGAAGGCAGUUCACUGGACUGCAACUGACACUGAGGCUCGAAAGUGUGGGUAUCAAACAGGAUUAGAUACCCCAGUAG